Nicotiana tabacum (common tobacco) is the source of this 1140-nucleotide non-coding RNA. Lineage: Eukaryota; Viridiplantae; Streptophyta; Magnoliopsida; Solanales; Solanaceae. The record is from RefSeq and is a predicted model, not a curated record.
AAUUUGUUUCCUCUUACCCCACGUUCUAAGCAACUCUUCCCUCAAAAGUCAGAGCUUCAUCCAAGGUAAAAUUCCCAGCUGAAAAUUAUCUUCUCUGGCAGCUGAAACUUCAGGAACAGCCUCACCUAGCGAUGGUUCGCUAUAUUGAUUGAGGAAAGGACAGGAUCGAACACCCAAACUUCCGUAUUUUGACUGGGUUGGGUAUGUUUGAUAUGGUUCUUACUCUUAGCUAAUGAAUUUCUACUUACCUCUUUGAUGUUACUUAUGACAAUUUAUUAUGCAUAAUACUAUGAGCCAGACUUGAAUUCUCUCAAAAAUUUACUAGACACUCUUUCUACUCUGUCUUAGUUUGCUGCUAAAUUUGUUCAUUACACUAAUCUAAUUUUUGAGAAAACAAGAAGUAAAAAUAACAACAGGUAUAAAGAUGAGGAGAGCAUCCAGGCAGAAGAAGCAACAACACAUCUUACUCUCCUCAACUAAGGCAAAACAUACUGAUGGAUGAUGCAAUUGGUACUGAUGGAAAACAGGUUAAAAAAAAUAACAACAGAUUCUACAGUAAAAUUGACUGCACAAAUUGAAAUGGUAAGAUCUUCUGGUUAUGCUCCUUGCUUAGGUGUUCAUAGCUCUUACAUUUCCUUGGUUAUCUCAAAUAAUUCCUUUUGCACUCACUCGUCAUUCCUCUUGCCUCAGUUCUAACUAUUUGUCCUGUUAUUGUUUUGAUCACUGACGUGCAGUCUUCACAUCUAACGGUUGCUCCGCAAUAGUGGAAAACAUGGACAAGUCUGAUUACCACACAAUAUAUUCUAUUAUUAUACUUAAAAUAUUCUGUACAAAAUGGACAGCACGAACAACUCAGUCAAACUUCUUAAUAAAUUAACGGUAAUUAUUAAUUCGAUUUAGAUUUAAUUAACGAAGAAAAUAGUGCUGAUAGCAAAUGAGAUGUCCAGUAAUAUAUUCCAAUUUACUUAAUGGAUUAAGUUGUAUAUUAGAAAAGAUUCCAUACAUUUAGAGACAACGUAAUGAAGCAGGUUUAGUGCUAUUUUCACUGUUAAUCAAUAUAGAAAGACAGAACUGUGUAAGGGGUUUGUUGGUUAGAAAUAUGAUGUUGAUUAUCUUAUGUGGAUAGCCCUUUGGUUUAAA